AAGAGGAGUGGAGAGCGGCAGCCAAGCUGGAGAGCCUCCAGCCUGACCACCUUUCCCCACGAGCACUGCAAGUUUUGAAAAGGUCGGAGCCGCAUCGCAGUCAACAAAGGGUGUUCAGAAGUGCUGCGGAGGAAAAGCGGCUGCAGCAAGAGCAGCAGCGGCUCCCCUGCGCUAGAUGCUGGUACCGCAACGGAGGGGAAGGUGCUGGGAAUGCUGAAGGCAGCAGCGGAGCUCUGAGCAAAGGGGCUGGGAAGCUCUCCCGCUUUCCACCCCUGAAUGGAAAAUAAAGAGCACAGCCAGACU
Anas platyrhynchos (mallard) is the source of this 303-nucleotide non-coding RNA. The record is from RefSeq and is a predicted model, not a curated record. NCBI's taxonomy places the organism in Eukaryota, Metazoa, Chordata, Aves, Anseriformes, Anatidae.